This 321-nucleotide ribosomal RNA is filed under the name uncultured eukaryote. RNAcentral describes it as "SSU rRNA". It matches the Rfam family "Eukaryotic small subunit ribosomal RNA", at positions 619 to 946 of the family's 1831-position model. The record is from RNAcentral.
UUAAAAAGCUCGUAGUUGAACUUCAGACCUGGCUGGGCGGUCUGCCUCACGGUAUGUACUGUCUGGCUGGGUCUUACCUCUUGGUGAGCCGCAUGCCCUUUACUGGGUGUGUUGGGGAACCAGGACUUUUACCUUGAGAAAAUUAGAGUGUUCAAAGCAGGCUUAUGCCCGAAUACAUUAGCAUGGAAUAAUAAAAUAGGACGUGCGGUUCUAUUUUGUUGGUUUCUAGAAUCGCCAUAAUGAUUAAUAGGGAUAGUUGGGGGCAUUAGUAUUCCGUUGCUAGAGGUGAAAUUCUUGGAUUUACGGAAGACUAACUACUGC